Molecule: unclassified non-coding RNA, 1297 nt
Filed under: Zea mays
Lineage: Eukaryota; Viridiplantae; Streptophyta; Magnoliopsida; Poales; Poaceae
Description: misc RNA Zm00001eb238090
Source: RNAcentral
CUCCUAUAAAGCUCACACACUCACUCGCUCACUCGCAUCGCAUCAUAAGGCGGCGCCAGGCGCCAGCCAAGGAAGGGAUGCCACCGGCGGGCCGCAUUCCGGGGGUCAUCGUCCUGGCCCUCGGCGUCGGGGCGCUGGGAUUCCCCGACGCGAUGCGCCUCGUGGCGGGGCGGCCGCGGAACCCGCUCCUCGACAUCGCCGCCUGCGCGGUCGCCAUGGUCGUGGCCACGGCCUACGCUCUCGGCACCAUGCUGCUGGCGCGUUUCGUCCGCAGCGGUGGCGGUGACGCGCCGCCCGCGGACGCCUUCGCCCGCCUGACCUUCGUCGUCUCCCUCGCCGCUGCGCUGCUCGUCUCCGCGUGCCUCCUCUUCCUGCCCGCGCCCGCGCCCGGCGCCGGCGGCCUGCCCUGCCAUACUGUCGACGCCAUCGCCGGAGAAAGCGAUGUGGUCGUCUCGGCCCUCGUCGCCGUCGGCGCCGUCGCCGCGGUCGUCCCCUUCGCCAGGCGUAUGCUCCGCCUCCGCACCGCCCCUGCUUCGACUUCGAGCCCCACGUCCUCGUCCUGAGCUUCGCGGUCCUCCUCCGCCUCUCCUCCAAGAACACAUAGGGACUAUUUUGAAGGUAUUGAUUUGGGAUUUCUGGAGCUUAUUAUCAGCUUGUCGUAGGUACUCGCAUGUCACAGAUGGGGAUGGAGUAGCAGAAUAAAUGAAUGAAAUGAUCAUUCAAGUGCUCAGUUCAGCCACUGUCUAUUUUUAGUCUUUGCUAAAAUCGGGAGCAAAGCAUGACAUGCGAUACUGGUGGAGCCGUUCAAUAAGAAUGUGUGCGCAGCGCAAGAAUGAGCUGAUCAAGGCAUUCGCUUUGGGAGUUGAAGCCAAUAGCGGGAUCAAAACUGAUCGAGUCCUCUGCUCAGCGCCAUUCGCUUCAACUCGUGUGUGCAAGAUUUUGUCGGCCAUGGAUCUCUUUUCCUUGCCUCCUUAACUGAUCAAGCGUCACGAGACGGCGGCUGUGAGCUGUCUGCCUGUCUCGCAUGCAAACGUGCAGGGGGCGGCCGGGCCAGGAUGUCGGAAGCGAGCCUUUCGCCACGGGAUCAACCAAUAGUUCACGUGUUUCUUCUUCUUUUUUAAUAAGACUUGUCGCCCCUGCACCUAACUGUAUAUUUAAAUUAAAAAAAAGCUCAUACGGUCCGCCGUUGAUAGUAAAAUUAAGAGGUUAAAAAAGUGAGAGGGCGCUGCAUACAGCCGCCGAGAGCGACGAGGAUCUGUCACGGAUACGCAGGAAGUGAGGGGGCCAUCUGCUGUGG